This 1283-nucleotide ribosomal RNA is filed under the name Binodoxys acalephae. RNAcentral describes it as "16S ribosomal RNA". The record is from RNAcentral. Lineage: Eukaryota; Metazoa; Arthropoda; Insecta; Hymenoptera; Braconidae.
AAAAUUUAUUACUAUAAACUAAUUAAUUUUUCAAAAAAUUAUUAAAAUAUAAAAAGUUUAUUAAAUUAAAAAUAAAUAAUAUUUAAAUAAAAAAGAAAUUAUAAAAUAUAAAUAUAAAUAAAAAAAUUAAAUAUUUUUACCUUUUGUAUCAGGGAUAAUUAAAAAAUAAUUUUAUUAAAAAAUCUCGAAAAAAAAAAAAUUAAAUAUAAAAUCCUAUUAUUGUAGAAAUAAUAUUAAAAAUUUAUAUUUAGAAACUAAAAAUUAACCAAUUUUUUUGAUAUCUAGUUACUUAAUAAAAUAAUUCAAUUAAUAAAUAAAUAUUAAAAUUUAUAUAAAUAAAUAUAUAUAAAUUUAAAUUUAUAUAAAAAAAUUAAGGGAUAAACUUUAAUUUUUUAAUUAAAAUAAAUAAAUUAUGUUAUUAAUUACAUAAAUAUAAAAAUAUUUAAUGUUUAUAAAAAUUUAAUAAUUUAAUUAAUUAAACCCUAUAAUUUAAAAAAAUUUUAAUUUACUUAUUAAGUUAAUUUAAAUAAUAAAAAAUUAAAAAUAAUAAUGAUUAUAUUAGUAAAUAAAAAUUUUAAAAAUAAAUAUAUUUAAUAAAGAUUUUAUUAAUGAAUUUAGCAAAAUUUAUGUUCACCUGUUUAAUAAAAACAUGUCUUAUUGAAAAUAAUAUUAAGUCAAAUCUGCCCAUUGAUAAAUUUAAAAGGCUGCAGUAUAAAUAACUGUACAAAGGUAGCAUAAUAAUUAGUUUUAUAAUUGAAAUCUAGUAUGAAAGAUUUAAUGAAACAUAAACUAUAUAAAUAAAAAUAAAAAUUUAAAUUAAAUUUUAAGUUAAAAUUCUUAAGUUUAAUUAAAAGACGAGAAGACCCUUUAGAAUUUAAUAUAUAAAUUAAUUAAUAUUUAAUUUAAUAAAAUAAUAAAUAAAUAUAUAUAUUUAAUUGGGGUAAUUUUAAAAUUAAAUAAACUUUUAAACAUAAAUCCAUUAAUUAAUGUAUUAAUAAACCUAAAUUUUAGAAUUUUAAAAUAAAUUACCUAAGGGAUAACAGCGUAAUUUUUUUUGAUAGCCCAUAUAUAUAAAAAAGUUUGCGACCUCGAUGUUGAAUUAAGAAUAAAUUAAAAGCAAAAAUUUAAUAAUUUAAGUCUGUUCGACUUUUAAAAUCUUACAUGAUUUGAGUUAAGAUCGGUGUAAGCCAGAUCGGAUUCUAUCUUUAAUAUAAUAAUAUAUAAUUGUACGAAAGGAAUUUAUAUUUAAAAUAAUUUUUCAUAAUAUAAUAAUUAAUAUAUUA